This 800-nucleotide ribosomal RNA is filed under the name Staphylococcaceae sp. K75. RNAcentral's name for it is "bacterial SSU rRNA". It matches the Rfam family "Bacterial small subunit ribosomal RNA", at positions 59 to 837 of the family's 1533-position model. Lineage: Bacteria; Bacillati; Bacillota; Bacilli; Caryophanales; Staphylococcaceae. The record is from RNAcentral.
AAGUCGAGCGCGUUUCGAAGGUGCUUGCACCUUCAAUGAAACGAGCGGCGGACGGGUGAGUAACACGUAGGUAACCUACCUUUAUGACUGGGAUAACCACGGGAAACCGGGGCUAAUACCGGAUAAGAUUUAGCUUCGCAUGAAGCAGAAGUAAAAGGCAGUUUCGGCUGUCACAUAAAGAUGGACCUGCGGCGCAUUAGCUAGUUGGAGAGGUAAGAGCUCCCCAAGGCGACGAUGCGUAGCCGACCUGAGAGGGUGAUCGGCCACACUGGGACUGAGACACGGCCCAGACUCCUACGGGAGGCAGCAGUAGGGAAUCUUCCGCAAUGGACGAAAGUCUGACGGAGCAACGCCGCGUGAGUGAAGAAGGUUUUCGGAUCGUAAAGCUCUGUUGUUAAGGAAGAACACCAUGGAUAGGAAAUGAUCGAUGGAUGACGGUACUUAACCAGAAAGCCACGGCUAACUACGUGCCAGCAGCCGCGGUAAUACGUAGGUGGCAAGCGUUAUCCGGAAUUAUUGGGCGUAAAGCGCGCGUAGGCGGUUUCUUAAGUCUGAUGUGAAAGCCCCCGGCUCAACCGGGGAGGGUCAUUGGAAACUGGGGAACUUGAGUACAGAAGAGGAGAGUGGAAUUCCAUGUGUAGCGGUGAAAUGCGCAGAGAUAUGGAGGAACACCAGUGGCGAAGGCGGCUCUCUGGUCUGAAACUGACGCUGAGGUGCGAAAGCGUGGGGAUCAAACAGGAUUAGAUACCCUGGUAGUCCACGCUGUAAACGAUGAGUGCUAAGUGUUAGGGGGUUUCCGC